GCCCGCUUCCACGGCCGUUGACACGCUCGGGGCUGACUUUUUGGUAGCGGUGACAUUCCAAUCGAGCCCUGGGAUAGUCUGUUCGCCCCGAAAUAGCUUGAGCGCUAGCCUCAAGGUGAGAGAUACGGAGGUAGGGCACUGAAUGUCCUAGGGGGUAUUGCACCUACCGAAGACUAUCAAACUCCGCAGGCCGUCAUCUUAUACUUGGGAGUCAGACUGUGGGUGAUAAGAUUCAUAGCCGAAAGGGCAACAGCCCAGAUCGUCAGCUAAGGUCCCUAAAUGUAAGUUAGGUGGUGUAGGAUGUGGGAUUGCACAUACAACCAGGAUGUUGUCUUAGAAGCAGCCACUCAUUAAUAGAGUGCGUAAUAGCUCACUGGUCGAGUGAUCAUUCGCCGAAUAUUUCCUGGCCUAAAACUUACUACAGAAGCUACGGCAUCAGUAAUGAUGGGUAGGGGAGCUUCCCAUA
RNAcentral lists this ribosomal RNA (466 nucleotides) under Clostridioides difficile. RNAcentral describes it as "bacterial LSU rRNA". It matches the Rfam family "Bacterial large subunit ribosomal RNA", at positions 772 to 1245 of the family's 2925-position model. Lineage: Bacteria; Bacillati; Bacillota; Clostridia; Peptostreptococcales; Peptostreptococcaceae. The record is from RNAcentral.